GAUGAACGCUGGCGGCGUGCCUAAUACAUGCAAGUCGAGCGAACAGACGAGGAGCUUGCUCCUCUGACGUUAGCGGCGGACGGGUGAGUAACACGUGGAUAACCUACCUAUAAGACUGGGAUAACUUCGGGAAACCGGCGCUAAUACCGGAUAAUAUCUUGAACCGCAUGGUUCAAUAGUGAAAGACGGUUUUGCUGUCACUUAUAGAUGGAUCCGCGCCGCAUUAGCUGGUUGGUAAGGUAACGGCUUACCAAGGCGACGAUGCGUAGCCGAACUGAGAGGGUGAUAGGCCACAUGGGAAGUGAGACAGCGUCCAGACUCCUACGGGAGGCAGCAGUAGGGAAUCUUACGCAAUGGGCGAAAGCCUGACGGAGCAACGCCGCGUGAGUGAUGAAGGUGUUCGGAUCGUAAAACUCUGUUAUUAGGGAAGAACAAAUGUGUAAGUAACUAUGCACGUCUUGACGGUACCUAAUCAGAAAGCCACGGCUAACUACGUG
RNAcentral lists this ribosomal RNA (497 nucleotides) under uncultured bacterium. RNAcentral describes it as "partial 16S ribosomal RNA". It matches the Rfam family "Bacterial small subunit ribosomal RNA", at positions 28 to 507 of the family's 1533-position model. The record is from RNAcentral.